AAAUAUAAAAAUGUGGUGGAUAGUGAUAAUGAAAGUGAAUGGGACAUGGCUAGUGAUUAUAAGCUCUUCAAAAAGUCAGUUAAUGGUGAGUUUAGAAGGUUUUAUAAGACUCUUGAGAGGUUGACUGAAACUAUGGAGAGUUUGAAUGUCUCACAAACUUCCACUUCUACAAAAAUACCUCAAAGAACUCUUAAUUGCAAUAAGCCUCAAGUCCGAGAUGAAGAGUUGAUGCGCUAGAAAUUCAUCCCUUCACACUAUUAUAGGGAUUUGGACAACAAGUUGGCAAGACUAAUUCAAGGAAG
RNAcentral lists this long non-coding RNA (302 nucleotides) under Manihot esculenta (cassava). RNAcentral's name for it is "long non-coding RNA (MESC_LNC004782)". Lineage: Eukaryota; Viridiplantae; Streptophyta; Magnoliopsida; Malpighiales; Euphorbiaceae. The record is from RNAcentral.